RNAcentral lists this ribosomal RNA (432 nucleotides) under uncultured bacterium. RNAcentral's name for it is "partial 16S ribosomal RNA". It matches the Rfam family "Bacterial small subunit ribosomal RNA", at positions 29 to 507 of the family's 1533-position model. The record is from RNAcentral.
ACGCACGCUGGCGGCAUGCCUAACCCCUGCAAGUCGAACGCGACCUUCGGGUCUAGUGGCGCACGGGUGCGUCACGCGUGGGAACCUGCCCUUAGGUUCGGAAUAACUCCCCGAAAGGGGUGCUAAUACCGGAUAAUGUCUUCGGACCAAAGAUUUAUCGCCUUUGGAUGGGCCCGCGUUGGAUUAGCUAGUUGGUAGGGUAAAAGCCUACCAAGGCGACGAUCCAUAGCUGGUCUGAGAGGAUGAUCAGCCACACUGGGACUGAGACACGGCCCAGACUCCUACGGGAGGCAGCAGUGGGGAAUAUUGGACAAUGGGCGAAAGCCUGAUCCAGCAAUGCCGCGUGAGUGAUGAAGGCCUUAGGGUUGUAAAGCUCUUUUACCCGGGAUGAUAAUGACAGUACCGGGAGAAUAAGCUCCGGCUAACUCCGUG